UUGUGAUAUAUCCCUCUUCCUUCCCACUAGGAACUUUAAGAACAAAUACUUUUGUGAAAUGACUCGAAGACUUCAUUUGAAAUUUCCAGGAAAACUUGAGUCAUCUUAGACCGCAUGCAAUAUGCCUUCAGUUUUUGGAUUGUGUCAGGAAUGAUACGAAUGAUAUGAUUUCCUCUGCUGACUGUAAGAUGAUGGAAGAAAAAUAGCAUUUGGGCAUGGCACGACAGCUGAAGAAGUCACAUACUUUUGUUUUGUAGCACCACGACAUUUAAUGGAUGUUGCAUUGUGCAUCUGUUCUUUUCCAACAUUAAUAUGAAGGAUGUCAAUCUUUUCCGCAGUGCUGACAAGGUGGGUAAUUUUUCAAAAAUUUACCAUUACUUUGUGUUUCGUGGCUGACUACUAACGCUCCUUCAACCAUUCCAUCUUGUCUCAUAAGCCUCCGUUGUUCCUGUGCCAGCAAAGAAUUUAACAAUUCUGCCAAAGUAAUUUUGGACUGAUCUUGUGUGUUUUCCUAGGUAGUUAAACAUGUUUCAUGUCUUUCGGGCACUGUAACAAGAAUUUUUUCAAUAAUUCUUGUAUCUUUAAAUUCAGUGCCUAGUAAUCUUACCUUGUUGACAAUACCAAUCAAUCUAUCAAAGUAUUCCUCGACUGUUUCUCACUAUUUCAUCCUCUGGAAUUCGAAUUCCCUCAUUAAAUCUAAUACCUUCAUUCCUCGUAUUCUUUCAUCUUCAUCAUAUUCUUUCUUCAGAUAAUUCCAAAUAUCUUUUGGUGAUGUGAGAGUCUUGAUUUCGUGAAAAAUGUUGUCGAAACAUCAACAAACAAAGUUGCUUUUGCCUUUGACUUAAUGGUUUUCUUUUCCUUGUUACUCUGGAUUUGGGCCGCGGUGGGAUUAUUUGGCAGCGGAUUGAUUUCAUAAUCCUCUUCCAUGGCUUUCAAAGAUCAAGAGCCUCCAAGAAUAUCCUCUCUCAAGUCUUUCUUGCAUUCGAUAUUUCACACGAAAGACUUGGGACAGCUGAAAUAGUUCUUGAGAAUAGAAGUAAGUAGGAGUAAGAAGGGAACAUUUUUAUCUCAAAGGAAGUAUAUCCUUGACCUUCUUGAGGAAACUGGAAAGUCAAUAGCCAUGCCUUGUAAUACUCCAAUGGCUCCAAAUAUGCAGCUAACAAAAGAUGAUGGUGAUCCCUUCAAUGAUCCAGAGAGUAAAACAUUGUGCAACUUUGGAGCAAAUAUUGUGUUACUUGAAAGGCGCCCCUAGACUUGGCAUAGUAUAUAGCAACAAUGGACAUACUCGCAUUGAGUGUUUUGUAGAUGCCGAUU
Molecule: long non-coding RNA, 1314 nt
Organism: Solanum pennellii
Lineage: Eukaryota; Viridiplantae; Streptophyta; Magnoliopsida; Solanales; Solanaceae
Exons: 6
Source: RefSeq, a predicted model, not a curated record